Molecule: ribosomal RNA, 368 nt
Filed under: uncultured organism
Description: bacterial LSU rRNA
Rfam family: Bacterial large subunit ribosomal RNA
Source: RNAcentral
CUUUACUGUAGGCUGAUAUUGGGCUGAGGUACGUUUUGUGUAGGAUAGGUGGGAGGCUGUGAGGCGGUAGCGCCAGCUAUCGCGGAGCCGUCGUUGAAAUACCACCCUGAAUGUGCUUUAGUUCUAACCCCGUCCCGUGAAGCCGGGCGGGGAACAGUCUCAGUUGGGCAGUUUGACUGGGGCGGUCUCCUCCAAAAGAGUAACGGAGGAGUGCAAAGGUACCCUCAGCCUGGUUGGCAAUCAGGCGUCGAGCGUAAGGGUAGAAGGGUGCUUAACUGCGAGACUCAUCAGUCGAGCAGGUGCGAAAGCAGGUCCUAGUGAUCCGGUGAUUCCGUAUGGAAGGGUCAUCGCUCAUCAGAUAAAAGGUA